Molecule: long non-coding RNA, 227 nt
Filed under: Elaeis guineensis (African oil palm)
Lineage: Eukaryota; Viridiplantae; Streptophyta; Magnoliopsida; Arecales; Arecaceae
Description: long non-coding RNA (EGUI_LNC034377)
Source: RNAcentral
UGAGGUAGUGAUCGAAUGACCCUUUAUUUCUAACAUUAAGAAUCUUUCAACAUCCAGCUUUAGAUCUUCAACUUCAAUGGAUGCUAGAGACAGGAGAGUUUGUUUACCCUUUUACUUCUUUUUUGUAGCUCCCCCACUAAAGGCAGAAGGAGUAGAUGGCCUUCAAAUUGCAAUUGGCUUGGAGGGAGAAGCGGGGGAACUCCAUGACUCAAAAACUUCUAACCCAC